Molecule: ribosomal RNA, 183 nt
Filed under: uncultured Staphylococcus sp.
Lineage: Bacteria; Bacillati; Bacillota; Bacilli; Caryophanales; Staphylococcaceae
Description: partial 16S ribosomal RNA
Rfam family: Bacterial small subunit ribosomal RNA
Source: RNAcentral
GAAGCUAAUACCGGAUAAUAUAUUGAACCGCAUGGUUCAAUAGUGAAAGAACGGUUUUGUCUGUCACUUAUAGAUGGAUCCGCGCUGCAUUAGCUAGUUGGUAAGGUAACGGCUUACCAAGGCAACGAUGCGUAGCCGACCUGAGAGGGUGAUCGGCCACACUGGAACUGAGACACGGUCCAG